RNAcentral lists this long non-coding RNA (904 nucleotides) under Triticum aestivum (bread wheat). Its description in RNAcentral is "long non-coding RNA (TAES_LNC023518)". Lineage: Eukaryota; Viridiplantae; Streptophyta; Magnoliopsida; Poales; Poaceae. The record is from RNAcentral.
UAGUGUUCAUGAGAAUAUGAUACUGCCUAAAUCAGAUAUGUUUGUAUUUCUCAGGGACGAAGGGCCUAUGAUAAAACAAAGAGACUACUAGCGUUGGAGCAUAAUCAAGCGUGGUUACAAAGGCGGGAAUGAAGACAGAACUUUAAGGCCUUCUACAAUGCAAGAUGCUUAGAAAAAUAAAUCAGCUUUUUCCUAAACAUCAGUGCUUAUUUAUACAGGGUAGACGCUUAAUUACACCCCUCCUGUAGAAAUAUGCAUUGGUUCUUAAGAAAAACUUGGUUUACUGCUGUUACACCAACUGCCCCUGCCACUACAAAUUAAAUGUGCAAAUUCCAGAAAAAGAUGAACCAUAUACUGAAGCACGCGCGCUGCAAUUGAAUUAUGAGGUACUUUUGUUUCUAAGUAGUUAUAGUGUUCAUGAGAAUAUGAUGCUGCCUAAAUAAGUUAUGUUUGUAUUUCUCAGGAACGAAGGGCCUAUGAUAAACCAAAGAGACUACUAGCGUUGGAGCAUAAUCAAGCGUGGUUACAAAGGCGGGAAUGAAGAUGGAACUUUAAGGCCUUCUACAAUGCAAGAUGCUUAGAAAAAUAAAUCAGUUUUUUCUUAAAUAACAGUGCUUAUUUAUAUAGGGUAAACGCUUAAUUGCACCCCUCCUGGUUCCUAAGAAAAACUUGGUUAUAAAAAUUUGUCGUAGCCGUAACCCUGUGUACCAAGUUGUGUCCAACGACCAGCUUACAGAAUCUCAGCCUUUUGUUUACUUUUGGCAAGAGCUCACAUCAUGUCGUGAUUGGAAAAUUUGAAGGUACUUCAUAUGUACUCCCUACUCCCUGUGUUCACCGAAAGAGGACGAUUUAGACUGACCAUGCAAUCUUUAAACGUCUUACAUUUAUGAACAGAGAGUAUUUU